GGACUACUGGGGUAUCUAAUCCUGUUUGCUCCCCUAGCUUUCGUGCCUCAGUGUCAGGUGUUGUCCAGGGACUCGCCUUCGCCACUGGUGUUCCUCUUGAUAUCUACGCAUUUCACUGCUACACCAAGAAUUCCAGUCCCCCCUCCAAACCUCCAGCCCAACAGUAUUCAAUGCCAUUUCAGGGUUAAGCCCUGAGCUUUCACAUCAAACUUUUUAGGCCACCUACGCACCCUUUACGCCCAGUGAAUCCGAACAACGCUCGGGACCUCUGUAUUACCGCGGCUGCUGGCAC
This 292-nucleotide ribosomal RNA is filed under the name uncultured Verrucomicrobiota bacterium. RNAcentral describes it as "uncultured Verrucomicrobia bacterium partial 16S ribosomal RNA". The record is from RNAcentral. Lineage: Bacteria; Pseudomonadati; Verrucomicrobiota.